GUGGCGGUAGUGUGCCAACAAGUUUGCCAAACGCCAAUAAACGCAUGCAGAAGAAGAAUAAUUUAACUAAUUAAUUCCUGUUAAACGGGGGACAAAUCAUUGCUUGUUUGUCAGCUGUGUAACUACUUCACCAGAAUUGCUCAACAUCUUGUAAAAUUUUGCAACAAAAAAUAAGAAGUUUAAGAUCAGUCAUUGUUGAUAAGUGUUGCAGGAAAGUCAAGAUUAACAGACGAGUGGGAAAUCAAAGACUGGAUGAACGCUGGGGAAACUGACGGAGAGGUGAGCUCUGGAAAGGAGGAAGGAUACUUCCUGUUCCUACUGGAGUGACCCGCAGGUCUGAGGAGGAGUGAGGGAGUGAGAGAGAAGGCGGAGGAAGCGAAAUUGGAGAAAAAACACCUUGUGAAACCUGCUGUGGAAGUAAAAGUACCCAUUGUGUGUGGAGCAAUGUUGUAAUAGACAAACAAGGACAAAAAUCUGCAUCUAAUCCUCUCAGGUGAGCAAUGACUCGGACCUGCAGAGUUAGCUGGAUGUCUGGUUCUCUUGGCUUCAGCCUGGAAAAGUGCUGAUUGUGGAAGGGUUGCUGGAGGAGCUCUCUCUUGGGCAGAUGGUGAGGAGACAGGGGGAGUUUUCACCCUGCUGCUUAGCCAACAGGGACACACACACACAGACGCAUUCACAUACGGCACACCCACACAGGAAACAUUAGAACAACCAUUUGUCAUAGUCUUUCAUUUCGACGGAGGAGUUCUUUUGUUGUUGGAAAUAAGCCGUGUUGAGUUUAUUAUUAUCUUCCUCUGAGUCAGUACGUUUAAGGGUUCAGCAGACACCUCUCGCGAUGGUGAUGGGCCGCUCUUCUUUAUCUAACUGUCCACGAGCUCUUUAUAAAGAGUUACUCGCAAACUAGCCAUCAAAGAUUUCUUGUUUAUUUCGACAGCUUUUAUGACAUGACGACAAAAGAAGAAACAUCUUUCAUAGCAUGGCUCAACAAUAAGGAUUGUUUUCGAUUGUGUGCAAACUGGUUUAAGAGACAGCCUGUUUUUUUUUUUUUUCCCAAGAAAAUAUUUGAUUUCUUGUCAGAUAAUGUGCAGUGAUUAUAUCUUACAUGGCUUAAUAUUUUAGCUGUAUCAAAAACAAAAACAUCAGGUACAUUUAAGUCCCUUGAGUUGGAACAAGAUUGGGAUGUACAUUUUAUACAUAAAAUUCUACGUGAUUGUUUUUUUCUUUUUACUCUACACCUGAAGAAAUGACAGAAGAAAAAAAUAAAAAAGGGUGCAAAGGGUGUCAAAGGGUGCGAAAAGCAAAUACCUGCUCACAGAUUUAUUAAAUCUAACAUUUCAGUCUCGUCACCUUCAUCAGACAUAUUUGCACAUCAAAAGUUAGAGUAUUUUUUUUAAGAAAACUGUAACCAAUGAUUAUUAACAGUUCUGGAUUGUUACUUUACAAACUCUAACAUCUUUGGGUUUACAUGCUGAAGCAUUAUUAAAUGUAAUGUUGUAAUUUUGAGAUGUGAAGUUUUCUAGAAUGUGACUACAAACUUUAGCAUCUGUGGGAUCAAAUGAUAGAACAUUAUUUUAUUUAAUGUGGCAAUUGUUUCCUUAAGAUGCAAAAUGUUUUGGAUUGUGACUUUACAGUUUUUUUUCCCUUCUUUUUUAAUGAUUCUGAAUAAAGGGUGUCAUGAUUGCUUGUUAUGUUA
This 1693-nucleotide long non-coding RNA is filed under the name Danio rerio (zebrafish). RNAcentral describes it as "si:rp71-1h3.1 (si:rp71-1h3.1)". Lineage: Eukaryota; Metazoa; Chordata; Actinopteri; Cypriniformes; Danionidae. The record is from RNAcentral.